Rosa chinensis is the source of this 2763-nucleotide long non-coding RNA. RefSeq lists it as uncharacterized. NCBI's taxonomy places the organism in Eukaryota, Viridiplantae, Streptophyta, Magnoliopsida, Rosales, Rosaceae. The record is from RefSeq and is a predicted model, not a curated record. The transcript has 5 exons.
UUCGGCAAAUUCACCCCGUCGCAAAGACACCAAUCUUGUACGACGGCUAAACAAACCCGUGGCAAAGACACCAAUUGCAUACGACGGCAAAACAUCCCCGUUGCCAUAAAACAAAUUGUAUGCUACUGCAUACCUACGCCGUCGCAUAUUGUGAUAUGAAUUGCUACCACAAAUGUGCCGUCGGGUGUACUUUGUUCUAAAUUCUGUGUUAGAGGGCAAAAGAGAAUUGAACUUUGAAAAAUUUCUCUUUGGGUCGGCCUCUCUUCCGCUCUCAACCUACUUCUCUUCCGUAUCAGAUCUAUGAGAAGCUAGUGUGGUGUUUGGGUAUUCAGAGUACCAAAGUCACAAAAACAUGCAUCUUGUCUCUGGUUGUUGCCCUAAGGUUGGGUGAUUGAAGCAGAGGAUAGAUAUGCUUCGUAUUUGAUAGGGAAAGCUUUUUUGAAGCAGCUGAAAGUGUUCCUGGGGUAAUUUUUUCAACUUAGUUCUUUAUUUUUUAGAUUUGGUUGUAUUGAAUUCAAUUGCCAUUUGUAUGCUUAUCUAUUUUGUGACAGUUUUCGAUGAAAGAAAGCAUGGAAAGUUUUCAUUCUCUCUGAUAUGAAGGUACUCCUUGAUUAAUGACUAAGAUUGCUUUUGCUGUUGUCUUGCAAUUUCAAAACCGGAUUAGAAUAAAACUGCUGGAAUCUGCCUUACAUUUCAAAAGCGAUGUACUUAAUUUGCUUGCUAAGAUUGAACUUCUUCACCAGAUUUCUAUCAAAUCCAGUCGAUUCACUAGCUAGAAGAUCUACGAACCCAGACGUUCAUCUAGAAAGAAAUUUGAUGAAACACAAAGGAAAAGGUGAGAUCUACUCACAUCUGAACGUGAGUGUUCGUCCAUAUCUUGCGGUAAUUUUUUUUCAUUUUUUUGGUUCAUUUGAGCUGUUCGUACUUCGUAGUGUUUUCUUAAGAUUCAGAGUACUUCUCUAUAAGUCAACCAUUUUAGAGAGCAGUUUAGCUCGAUACAAUCUUUUGUUAAAUUGGUGAGCUUGAUCCAAAGUUUUAGUCUUCGUAAUGUCUGUAGAUUUGGUGCUAUCCUAUGCAAUGAAUCCAAGUAAGUUAUGGACAAAUCUAAUCUCAUUUAUAAAUAGUAUAUGCAUUCAUCAUCCAGUUCGUGUUUACCAAAUUGUGAUCCAAAAUUGUUUUGCUUCAAAUUGUGAUCCAAUAUUUUUUUGGUAUUCUAACUUGUGAUUUACUUUGUGUUUUUAAUUUUCUGUUACAACAGUAUUAGCGCAUGAUUGCUUUCAUAACCUAAAAUUGGUUUAUAUUGAUUCUCUGGUUUGUAGUGUUUCCAUGUAUGCAUACUCACAGGUUAUUGUGCUAGAUUAGAGAUGUAAGUUAGCUUAUAUGUUUCCUCUCAAAAAAAAAAAGUUAGCUUAUAUGUUGAAAGUUGAAACUGUAUCCUUUAUAUUAUUGGAUUCAUCUGCUUUGACUUGCAGUAUUUUCAUAUUUUGGUCAUUUAUGCUGCCUUUGGUAUGAUACAAGGCAAAAGUUAUAUAAAAGACCAAUAUAUUGCCCUCUUUCAUGAAGAUGUUUCAACUUAUUUUAGAUCUUGUUUUUCUCUUUAUUUUCUCCUUCUAUAGUUUUUUUUUCCCCUUAUUGAUGCAUUCCUUGCUCAGUAGUUACUUUUAUGCAUGACUAAUUCAUGGGAAUUGGUUUUCUUAUCGGAAGCCCUAUUGGCCAAAUUCUUAUGAACCUCGACUAUUUGCAUAUGAAUCAUAUUCUUCAUCUAGAGUGUCAAGUUUCAUUACACAUUUGUUCUUGCGUACUUGGCCAAGGUAAUUCAUAAUUUGAUCUGAUGUUGUUUUUUACUGAUAUUCCAUUUUCUUAAUGUUCGCUAAUAUAUGCUUUGGUAAUUUAUCCUCUUAUUUCCUAUAUUCCCCAAACGGACAUAUAGUUUUGCUGACAACAAAUGAUCUAUUCGGGUGCAGGUGAUGACUGUUUGGACUUGCCAAGAUGUUGACUUCAGAUGAUCUUGCUUGCGAUGCACAAUGUCUUGAAGCUAUCUAUAUCAAAUAUAUCUUAAUUCAGGAGGAUUGGUAGCUGUAUGUGUCCCAAUCUGAUAUACCUUGUAGUUCCAAAUCAGAUAUGGUCUUUGGACAAAGAGAACCAAGAAGGCUGGUAUUGUCGGGAAGUAUGGUGAAGAAUGAUUUUCUGUAACUUUUUGUUUGGGGACUGCAGAUUGUAUAGGAGUGGAGCCAAAAGACAGUUUUGUAAAUUGUUGCGAAAAGAAUCCAGAACCCAGAAUAAGAUUCUCUAUUUCAUAUCACUUGUAUUCAAGACUCGAAGCAUAUCGUGUCAGGCCGACAACAACAACAACAAGAGUGACCUGCAUCCGCUGCUUUGGGGUGGAGAUCAUGUGCAGUGACCACGCUGGGUAGAGAUGGUAGUGACUUGACAGCUACAACCAUUGGUAAAGCACGUUGGCAGGAACUUGACCAUGUUGUGGAAGAACUGGAGAAAAUUGUUGUUGUCAAUCUUCAGCACCGUACCGAUUAAUAAUAUCUCUCAUUGGAAAUGUGCAGAAAUCAUCACUAAUAUUAGAGAAGGUGUUGUACUGUGUUUUGCCAAGUACUUAGAAAGCAUUCCCUAUUUUCUUUUGUUCUCUGGUUGAUGACAAGUGUUGUUCAAUUGAUCAAACAGGGUUAUCAGCUAUGUAUGUAUUUGAAUCUGGUAUUCAUGUUUUGGUGCAUUUUAUAUAAAAUUUAUUACUAGGCUUCUUUUGCUCCA